AAUAUUGGACAAUGGGGGCAACCCUGAUCCAGCCAUGCCGCGUGUGUGAAGAAGGUCUUCGGAUUAUAAAGCACUUUAUGUUGGGAAGAAGGGCUUUAGGCUAAUACCCUGAAGUUUUGACGUUAGCAACAUAAUAAGCACCGGAUAACUCUCUGCCAGCAGCCGCGGUAAUACAGCGGGUGCAAGCGUUAAUCGGAAUUACUGGGCGUAAAGCGCGCGUAGGUGGUUCAGUAAGAUGGGUGUGAAAACCCCGGGCUUAAACUGGGAACUGCUUUCAUAACUGCUGAGCUAGAGUACGGUAGAGGGUAGUGGAAUUUCCUGUGUAGCGGUGAAAUGCGUAGAUAUAGGAAGGAACACCAGAGGCGAAGGCGACUACCUGGACUAAUACUGACACUGAGGUGCGAAAGCGUGGGGAGCAAAC
RNAcentral lists this ribosomal RNA (421 nucleotides) under uncultured bacterium. Its description in RNAcentral is "partial 16S ribosomal RNA". It matches the Rfam family "Bacterial small subunit ribosomal RNA", at positions 360 to 773 of the family's 1533-position model. The record is from RNAcentral.